AUGCAGUGGGUCAGACUGACUGCACCUUGUGGGCUCCAUGCGACAUGCCACCUCAAAACCCCUGGCAAAUGCAAAGAAAUGUUAAUUGGUGAGACCCUCAUUAAUCCUGGUAGCAUACAGCCAAGCAUUGGCUGUACCUCCAGCCGCUGGGGUUGGGAUAGAAUGGAAUCCAUUACCCCUUCCAGCGAGAUCCCAAAUAACCACGCUGGGAUUUCUCUGGCAGUUGUACAGAUCCUGCUCAGAAUGCCUGUGGGAUCACUGCGGGGGGCUCUGUGGAGGGACGAGCCACAUCUCUAUGCUGACUGUUGCCAUCUCUUUCUGUUGAUAGAUCAUGCUGAUGUAUACAGAGUGUCAGGGGCGGACUGGAACUCUGAUGGAGCAGAGGAACCAUUUAGAAAUGUCUGUGCUUGGAGCACUAUUGAAUAUGAAUUCACCUGCCUCAAGUGUUGGAUUCAGAAUGAGAUUCUGCUGGGAGAACCUGACAGGACAUUCAGGUAUAGACACAACAAGUAUCUAGAAAUCAAUGCGAUUGCAUAAACUUGCUAAAACAAGGGUGAACUCAGGGGCCUUUUUAGCUUUAGAUAUGCUUUCCUCUCUAAAAGUAUGAAUGGAGUUAUGUGUUUGAAGCUUGUGCGUAUUCUCUCUCUCUCUCUCUUUUUUUUUUUAAUUAGUUGUUUGUCUUUCUGAAGUAAGAAGCAUGGGACUCUCACCUUGAUCACCCCAGGUGAUCGAGCGUUUCAAACACAAUAUUUUCAUUGAUAACGCUUCUUGUGGUACACAC
RNAcentral lists this long non-coding RNA (781 nucleotides) under Numida meleagris (helmeted guineafowl). RNAcentral's name for it is "lncRNA (ENSNMEG00000018742.1)". The record is from RNAcentral. Lineage: Eukaryota; Metazoa; Chordata; Aves; Galliformes; Numididae.